UGUUUACAGCAACGGUACCCAGAAAGUCAUCACGUUGGCACUCUUGUCGGCAACUUAAAAUCAAAAGAAAGCUUAGCAUGAAUUACCUGAAUCCUCUUUUAAAGCUACACAAUGUCCUGAGAGGAUUCUUUAUGAGAAAAAUGUCCAUCACAGCUUUAAGACCUUGCUUUGGAAGGAACUAAUGAGAAAGCAGAUGGAAAGCUUUCAGGUAAAGUCCAGCACUUCAUUUAUACAAAGUCUAUGAGAAUAGGUCAGUAGAGAUCAUCUAAUCUUAAGUCGUGACAUCAU
Kogia breviceps (pygmy sperm whale) is the source of this 288-nucleotide non-coding RNA. Lineage: Eukaryota; Metazoa; Chordata; Mammalia; Artiodactyla; Physeteridae. The record is from RefSeq and is a predicted model, not a curated record.